UCGACGGUGAGGGACGAAAGCUGGGGGCACGAACCGGAUUAGAUACCCGGGUAGUCCCAGCCGUAAACGAUGCUCGCUAGGUGUCAGGCAUGGCGCGACCGUGUCUGGUGCCGCAGGGAAGCCGUGAAGCGAGCCACCUGGGAAGUACGGCCGCAAGGCUGAAACUUAAAGGAAUUGGCGGGGGAGCACAACAACGGGUGGAGCCUGCGGUUUAAUUGGACUCAACGCCGGACAACUCACCGGGGACGACAGCAAAAUGUAGGCCAGGCUGAAGACCUUGCCUGAAUCGCUGAGAGGAGGUGCAUGGCCGUCGCCAGUUCGUACUGUGAAGCAUCCUGUUAAGUCAGGCAACGAGSGGAGACCC
RNAcentral lists this ribosomal RNA (364 nucleotides) under Methanosarcina sp. enrichment culture clone BER4_CD. RNAcentral describes it as "bacterial SSU rRNA". It matches the Rfam family "Archaeal small subunit ribosomal RNA", at positions 691 to 1053 of the family's 1478-position model. The record is from RNAcentral. Lineage: Archaea; Methanobacteriati; Methanobacteriota; Methanomicrobia; Methanosarcinales; Methanosarcinaceae.